RNAcentral lists this ribosomal RNA (254 nucleotides) under uncultured bacterium. RNAcentral's name for it is "partial 16S ribosomal RNA". It matches the Rfam family "Bacterial small subunit ribosomal RNA", at positions 524 to 776 of the family's 1533-position model. The record is from RNAcentral.
CAUGUAGGGUGCGAGCGUUGUCCGGAAUUAUUGGGCGUAAAGAGCUCGUAGGCGGUGUGUCGCGUCGGCCGUGAAAACCUGCAGCUUAACUGUGGGCUUGCGGUCGAUACGGGCAUCACUGGAGUUCGGCAGGGGAGACUGGAAUUCCUGGUGUAGCGGUGAAAUGCGUAGAUAUCUGGAGGAACACCGGUGGCGAAGGCGGCAUCCUGGACCAAUUCUGACGCUGAGGAGCGAAAGCCAGGGGAGCAAACGGG